AAGUCGUAACAAGGUCUCCGUUGGUGAACCAGCGGAGGGAUCAUUACCGAGUCUCCAACUCACAACCCAUAGUGAACAUACCGACGUUGCUUCGGCGGCCGGGCCCCGUCCCACCGCCGCCGGAGGUACCAAACCCUCUGUUUCCAAUUGUGGUUAUAUCUGAGCGAAUCUUGAAAUAAAUCAAAACCUUCAACAACGGAUCUCUUGGCUCUG
Molecule: unclassified non-coding RNA, 213 nt
Filed under: fungal sp.
Lineage: Eukaryota; Fungi
Also listed under: 1 other name
Description: partial internal transcribed spacer region
Rfam family: Eukaryotic small subunit ribosomal RNA (bases 1-46)
Source: RNAcentral